Molecule: ribosomal RNA, 440 nt
Filed under: uncultured bacterium
Lineage: Bacteria
Description: partial 16S ribosomal RNA
Rfam family: Bacterial small subunit ribosomal RNA
Source: RNAcentral
CCUACGGGGGGCAGCAGUGGGGAAUAUUGCACAAUGGGCGGAACCCUGAUGCAGCGACGCCGCGUGAGUGAAGAAGUAUUUCGGUAUGUAAAGCUCUAUCAGCAGGGAAGACAAUGACGGUACCUGACUCAGAAGCGCCGGCUAAAUCCGUGCCAGCAGCCGCGGGAAUACGCGUGGGGCAAGCGUUAUCCGGAUUUACUGGGUGUAAAGGGAGCGUAGACGGGUAUGCAAGUCUGACGUGAAAGCCCAAGUCUUAACCAUGGAACUGCUUUGGAAACUGUAAAGCUGGAGUGCAGGAGAGGCAGGCGGAAUUCCUAGUGUAGCGGUGAAAUGCGUAGAUAUUAGGAGGAACACCAGUGGCGAAGGCGGCUUACUGGACUGUAACUGACGUUGAGGCGCGAAGGCGUGGGGAGCAAACAGGAUUAGAUACCCCAGUAGUC